This 376-nucleotide long non-coding RNA is filed under the name Triticum aestivum (bread wheat). RNAcentral's name for it is "long non-coding RNA (TAES_LNC021657)". The record is from RNAcentral. Lineage: Eukaryota; Viridiplantae; Streptophyta; Magnoliopsida; Poales; Poaceae.
GCAGUGUCAGGGAAAAGCUAAAAAGUUAGAAACUAGUCAUACAUUCGCGAAUGUUCUUUUUACUUGGAAAAUCAGGGAUCUUUCCCUGGUUCAUUCAAAUUAACAUAGCAGCAGUAACCACUGAACUUCCUCAAAUACAGGAACGCAUUGGCCAAGCAUCGAUGGACAAACUGACACGUCAAUGGCCGCCCGAUCACAUGUGGAUGGCCUGAUAUUUCUAUGGCGUCUUCUUCAGGAAUUCCAAGGAGGCAUAUCCACCAUGGCCUACUAUAUAUGCUUUUCUAUGUUGCAAACUAAUUUCAGUUUCACAUAAAUUUGCGUCUACAAUUGGCAUGAUCUUCCUCUGGGUUCAUUAAGUUAGGCACUUCGAACUGUG